This 1458-nucleotide long non-coding RNA is filed under the name Phasianus colchicus (ring-necked pheasant). RNAcentral describes it as "lncRNA (ENSPCLG00000016477.1)". Lineage: Eukaryota; Metazoa; Chordata; Aves; Galliformes; Phasianidae. The record is from RNAcentral.
AGAAAAGUCCAAAUUUGGGUCUUUGUGAUGGAAUUCAGGUCAGGAAGGUAAAAAUUGGGGUUUUUGUGAUAGGAUUUGGGUGAGAAAAGUCCAGAUUUGGGGUCUUUGUGGUUAGAUUUGGGUCAGAAAAGCUUAAAAUUGUGAUUUUUGUGAUGGGAUUUGGGUCAGGAAGGUGAAAAUUUGGGUCUUUGUGAUGGAUUUUGGGGUCAGGGAAGCCCAAAUUUGGGUCUUCGUAAUGGGAUUUGGUCAGGAAGGCCCAAAUUUGGGAUUUUUUGUGAUGGGAUUUGGGUCGGAAAGGCCAAAUUUGGGGGUUUUGUGAUGGGAUUUGGGUCGGGAAAGUCCAAAUUUGGGAUUUUUAUGAUGGGAUUUGGGUCAGAAAAGUCCAAGUUUGCGUCUCUGUCAUUGAUUUUGGGGUCAGAAAAGUCCAAAUUUGGGAUUUUUAUGAUGGGAUUUGGGUCAGAAAGGCCAAGUUUGGGGUUUCUGUGGUGGAAUUUGGGUCGGAAAAGUCCAAAUUUGUGGGUUUUGUGAUGGGAUUUGGGUCAGGAAGGUCCAAAUUUGGGGUCUCUGUGAUUGAUUUUGGGGUCAGAAAAGUCCAAAUUUGCAAUUUUUAUGAUGGGGUUUGGGUUACAGAAGUCCAAAUUCGGGUCUCUGAGAUGGGAUUUGGGUCAGAAAUCUUUAAAAUUGGGAUUUUUGUGAUGGGAUUUGGGUCAGAAAAGUCCAAAUUUGAGUCUCUGUGAUGGGAUUUGGGUCAGAAAAGUCCAAAUUUGGGAUUUGUAUGAUGGCAUUUGGGUCAGAAAAGUCCAAAUUUGGGGUUUUUGUGUUUGGAUUUGGGCCAGAAAAGACCAAAUUUGAGUCUCUGUGAUGGAAUACGAGUUGGAAAAGUCCAAAUUUGGGGGUUUUGUGAUGGGAUUUGGGCCAGAAAAGUCUAAAGUUGGGAUUUUUAUGAUGGGAUUUGGAUCAGAAAAGUCCAAAUUCGGGAUUUUUAUGAUGGCCUUUGGGUCAGAAAAGUCCAAAUUUGGGUUUCUGUGAUGGAAUUUGGGUCGGAAAAGUCCAAAUUUGGGGGUUUCUGUGAUGUGAUUUGGGUCGGAAAAGUCCAAAUUUGGGGGUUUUGUGAUGGGAUUUGGUCUGAAAAGUACAAAUUUGGGUAUCUUUGAUGGGGUUUGGGUCAGAAAUCCUUAAAAUUGGGAUUUUUGUGAUGGGAUUUGGUCUGAAAAGUCCAAAUUUUGUGUCUUUGUGACGAGAUUUGUGUCAGAAAGGUUUAAAAUUUGGGAUUUUUGUGAUGGGAUUUGGGUCGGGAAAGUCCAAAUUUGGGAUUUGUAUGGCGGGGUUUGGGUCAGAAUAGUCGAAAAUUGGGGUCUUUGUAACAAGAUUUGGGUCAGAAAAGUCCAAAUUUGGAUCUCUGUGAUUGAUUUUGGGGUCAGAAGAGUCCAAAUUUGGGUGUUUUGUGAUGGAAUUUGG